UGGGCUCGGUAUGGUACGGUACGGUGUACCGAGCGGUACACCCAGGUGUACCGAGCGGUACACCUGAUUUCACAGAUUUAACCCUCCGAAAAUACCUGAAAAUUAAAAAAAAAAGUUAGGAUAGGGUUUUCAAGUUACAAAUAAAUAUAGUAAUAGUAUAAGUUUAGCAAAAUCAAUGUAAAUUAGGUAAGAAUAGUAUCACAUAUCUUUUUCGGGCUUUGAGGUAGUCUUGUUCGAGGUUCGUAUUUCAGCCCGUUAUAGAUUGAAAUAUCUACAGAAAAAUCAGUUGAAUUGUUAGACUAUUUUGUUACAAUAUAAACUCUAAAAUUCAAAUGAAUUAAAUAAUCACAUAUGUAGAUAUACCUGAUUAUUGAUUACUUGAUUUUACCACCAAAACGAACGACGGGC
Molecule: long non-coding RNA, 408 nt
Filed under: Musa acuminata (dwarf banana)
Lineage: Eukaryota; Viridiplantae; Streptophyta; Magnoliopsida; Zingiberales; Musaceae
Description: long non-coding RNA (MACU_LNC007731)
Source: RNAcentral